RNAcentral lists this unclassified non-coding RNA (388 nucleotides) under Hevea brasiliensis (rubber tree). Lineage: Eukaryota; Viridiplantae; Streptophyta; Magnoliopsida; Malpighiales; Euphorbiaceae. The record is from RNAcentral.
UUAUUUAUUUAUUUAUUUUUUCAGAAAAUUAGUUUAAACAAGCCUUAAGGUUUCUAAAGUCAUCCUCAUGACUCGCAUUAAACAACUGAUCAAAGUUGUACUUUUCUUGCAACUGUGCUAGCUUGUACUUCUCAUUCUCCCCUCCGGCGUCCGUAAAUUUUGAUACAAAUUGGCAAGAGAUUUACAAUGAGUCUCAAUAACCUCUAGCUUAGCUUCUCCUGUUGCCAAUUUAUAUUUCUCAAAGCCUUCCACAUGCCGUGAGUAACUUUCAAUACCCUUCUUUCUUCAUCUUAAUAGCCUUUUGAACCUCCUCACUUGGCCACCAACACUCUUGUAGAGGUGAUCCUUACUUUUGGAUAGUGUUAACGAGGCGUUGGGCUAUGGGCUC